Molecule: non-coding RNA, 68 nt
Organism: Trichonephila inaurata madagascariensis
Lineage: Eukaryota; Metazoa; Arthropoda; Arachnida; Araneae; Nephilidae
Source: the annotation of a GenBank genome assembly
CUGUAGCGCAAUGGGUAGCACGUUAGACUUCUAGUCCAAAAUUGUGGGUUCGAAUCCCACCUGGAAGG